Molecule: ribosomal RNA, 251 nt
Filed under: Anophryoides haemophila
Lineage: Eukaryota; Ciliophora; Oligohymenophorea; Philasterida; Glauconematidae
Description: partial Bacterial large subunit ribosomal RNA
Rfam family: Bacterial large subunit ribosomal RNA
Source: RNAcentral
GUAACAGCUCACUGGUCGAGCGACAGGGCAUCGAUAAUAAUCGGGCAUCAAGCAUAUUACCGAAGCUGCGGAUUGUAGUUUACUACAGUGGUAGGGGAGCAUUCCCUUCUGCGGUGAAGGCGCCUGGUCAUGGGCGCUGGAGCGUAGGGAAAAGCAAAUGUAGGCAUAAGUAACGAUAAUGCGGGCGAGAAACCCGCACACCAAUAGACUAAGGUUUCCUGAUCAACGUUAAUCGGAUCAGGGUUAGUCGG